ACCGCCCCCCCCUCCCCCCCCCCCGGGGCAGCGGCCGGGCCGCCCCCCGCCUCCUUCCCCGCACAAAGGAGACCCCGAGGGGGGAGUUUCACCCCCGGGGGGGGCUUCCCCAACCCACACCGAGAUACGGAGCAGCCCCGCAAACCGGUGUCCACCCCCUCCCCUUCCCAGCCCGGCGGUGCGGCAGCAUCCCUCCCCGAGGCAAGAAGUGGGGAUGUGCGAGCUGCUUUGCCCGGCGACGUGCAGGAAGUUUGCAGCGGUGCCAGAAAUAGAGCCUGCGCCUGCACCCGAACCGCAAAAAAAAAAAAAAAAAAAAAAAAAAAAAAAAAAAAAAAAAAA
Molecule: long non-coding RNA, 339 nt
Organism: Oxyura jamaicensis (ruddy duck)
Lineage: Eukaryota; Metazoa; Chordata; Aves; Anseriformes; Anatidae
Exons: 2
Source: RefSeq, a predicted model, not a curated record